UACGAGGGGAGCAAGCGUUGUUCGGAUUUACUGGGCGUAAAGGGCGCGUAGGCGGCCACGACAAGUCACUUGUGAAAUCUCCGGGCUUAACUCGGAACGGUCAAGUGAUACUGUCGGGCUAGAGUACAGAAGGGGCAACUGGAAUUCUCGGUGUAGCGGUGAAAUGCGUAGAUAUCAGGAGGAACACCGAUGGCGAAGGCAGGUCUCUGGGCCACUACUGACGCUGAGAAGCGAAAGCAUGGGGAGCGAACAGG
Molecule: ribosomal RNA, 254 nt
Filed under: uncultured bacterium
Lineage: Bacteria
Description: partial 16S ribosomal RNA
Rfam family: Bacterial small subunit ribosomal RNA
Source: RNAcentral